Molecule: non-coding RNA, 28 nt
Filed under: Mus musculus (house mouse)
Lineage: Eukaryota; Metazoa; Chordata; Mammalia; Rodentia; Muridae
Source: RNAcentral
UNGAAGGUUCAGUGUUUAAAGCUUGGUA